ACCAGUCUGAAGAGUCCAGAAACAUGGAUCACGAAGUUAAUCAGGGGGCAUGCUCUGCAUAACAGAGUGAAUGAACCUUAAUCCUUCAGCCUUUUCAUUUGCUUUUCUAGGGAUAAAUUCAGACAGAGAUAGAUCCCUGACUUUCAUUCUCUUCAAAACAAGAAUUAAGAUACACAUGUUGGAAGAAUAUUACUGAAGUCACCCAAAGUGUAAGUAUUCAAAAAACAAUGAGCUUUUAAGACGGCAUUAGAAAGCACCAUUUUUACCCCAGACACGGAACAGGUGCAGUAAAAUAAACCUGUGCCAAAGCAUUCUGUUAACUUUUGCUAGUGGAGGCAGUGGGCUCAUUGUGACAGCUGAUAUUCUCUUCACUUCCUGAAGACUUGAAGCUGUAAGAAUAGGCUAGCACCUGGGAAAAUUGUGCUGGCUUAAUGGCCUAGAAUGCAGGCUGAUUUUCCUAUGAUUUGGAGAACUGCUUUUAACUCAAUUAUGUUAAGCACCAGGUCAAUUCCUUCCCCUUCUUAACACUUGAAGUGAAUAACCUCUCAAGACAAAUGCUUAAUUUUCUAAAUAUGAAGUCCUUUGGCAUAUAAGCUGCAUGGAUUUUUGCUUGUUUCAUGUCUAUGACAAAGUCUAAAUCUAUGUUUGAUCAAUGGAGGGGAGGAAGGCCUCUAAUUUGCUCCUGUUUUGUAUUUAAAAUGUUCCCUUACAUUCCUGUGUGAAAAAAAGUGGGGCUUUUAAUAUUAAAUCUUUCCUUUUUUGUUUCUUUGUUUC
RNAcentral lists this long non-coding RNA (774 nucleotides) under Ficedula albicollis (Collared flycatcher). RNAcentral describes it as "lncRNA (ENSFALG00000027403.1)". The record is from RNAcentral. Lineage: Eukaryota; Metazoa; Chordata; Aves; Passeriformes; Muscicapidae.